RNAcentral lists this transfer RNA (88 nucleotides) under Methanobacteriota archaeon. RNAcentral describes it as "Euryarchaeota archaeon tRNA-Ser". It matches the Rfam family "tRNA". From Rfam's summary of the family: Transfer RNA (tRNA) molecules are approximately 80 nucleotides in length. Their secondary structure includes four short double-helical elements and three loops (D, anti-codon, and T loops). Lineage: Archaea; Methanobacteriati; Methanobacteriota. The record is from RNAcentral.
GGAGAGGUGACAGAGCGGUCGAAUGUACCGGUCUUGAAAACCGGCGUAGUGAAAGCUACCGUGGGUUCGAAUCCCACCCUCUCCGCCA